This 622-nucleotide ribosomal RNA is filed under the name uncultured bacterium. RNAcentral's name for it is "bacterial SSU rRNA". It matches the Rfam family "Bacterial small subunit ribosomal RNA", at positions 202 to 842 of the family's 1533-position model. The record is from RNAcentral.
CAAAGGAGCAAUCCGCUGAAAGAUGGGCUCGCGUCCGAUUAGAUAGUUGGGGGGGUAACGGCCCACCAAGUCGACGAUCGGUAGCCGGACUGAGAGGUUGAACGGCCACAUUGGGACUGAGACACGGCCCAGACUCCUACGGGAGGCAGCAGUGAGGGAUAUUGGUCAAUGGGGGAAACCCUGAACCAGCAACGCCGCGUGAGGGAAGACGGUUUUCGGAUUGUAAACCUCUGUCCUCUGUGAAGAUAAUGACGGUAGCAGAGGAGGAAGCUCCGGCUAACUACGUGCCAGCAGCCGCGGUAAUACGUAGGGAGCGAGCGUUGUCCGGAUUUACUGGGUGUAAAGGGUGCGUAGGCGGGUAAGCAAGUCAGAAGUGAAAUCCAUGGGCUUAACCCAUGAACUGCUUUUGAAACUGUUUAUCUUGAGUGAAGUAGAGGUAGGCGGAAUUCCCGGUGUAGCGGUGAAAUGCGUAGAGAUCGGGAGGAACACCAGUGGCGAAGGCGGCCUACUGGGCUUUAACUGACGCUGAAGCACGAAAGCGUGGGUAGCAAACAGGAUUAGAUACCCUGGUAGUCCAUGCCGUAAACGAUGAUUACUAGGUGUGGGGGGACUGACCCCCUCC